RNAcentral lists this ribosomal RNA (528 nucleotides) under Staphylococcus aureus. RNAcentral's name for it is "partial 23S ribosomal RNA". It matches the Rfam family "Bacterial large subunit ribosomal RNA", at positions 2395 to 2925 of the family's 2925-position model. Lineage: Bacteria; Bacillati; Bacillota; Bacilli; Caryophanales; Staphylococcaceae. The record is from RNAcentral.
AGGGUCGAAAGAUGGACUUAGUGAUCCGGUGGUUCCGCAUGGAAGGGCCAUCGCUCAACGGAUAAAAGCUACCCCGGGGAUAACAGGCUUAUCUCCCCCAAGAGUUCACAUCGACGGGGAGGUUUGGCACCUCGAUGUCGGCUCAUCGCAUCCUGGGGCUGUAGUCGGUCCCAAGGGUUGGGCUGUUCGCCCAUUAAAGCGGUACGCGAGCUGGGUUCAGAACGUCGUGAGACAGUUCGGUCCCUAUCCGUCGUGGGCGUAGGAAAUUUGAGAGGAGCUGUCCUUAGUACGAGAGGACCGGGAUGGACAUACCUCUGGUGUACCAGUUGUCGUGCCAACGGCAUAGCUGGGUAGCUAUGUGUGGACGGGAUAAGUGCUGAAAGCAUCUAAGCAUGAAGCCCCCCUCAAGAUGAGAUUUCCCAACUUCGGUUAUAAGAUCCCUCAAAGAUGAUGAGGUUAAUAGGUUCGAGGUGGAAGCAUGGUGACAUGUGGAGCUGACGAAUACUAAUCGAUCGAAGACUUAAUCAA